RNAcentral lists this ribosomal RNA (1360 nucleotides) under uncultured bacterium. RNAcentral's name for it is "bacterial SSU rRNA". It matches the Rfam family "Bacterial small subunit ribosomal RNA", at positions 28 to 1387 of the family's 1533-position model. The record is from RNAcentral.
GAUGAACGCUGGCGGCGUGCUUAACACAUGCAAGUCGAACGAAGCACUUUAUUUGAUUUCCUUCGGGACUGAUUAUUUUGUGACUGAGUGGCGGACGGGUGAGUAACGCGUGGGUAACCUGCCUUGUACAGGGGGAUAACAGUUGGAAACGGCUGCUAAUACCGCAUAAGCGCACGGCAUCGCAUGAUGCAGUGUGAAAAACUCCGGUGGUAUAAGAUGGACCCGCGUUGGAUUAGCUAGUUGGUGAGGUAACGGCUCACCAAGGCGACGAUCCAUAGCCGACCUGAGAGGGUGACCGGCCACAUUGGGACUGAGACACGGCCCAAACUCCUACGGGAGGCAGCAGUGGGGAAUAUUGCACAAUGGGCGAAAGCCUGAUGCAGCGACGCCGCGUGAGCGAAGAAGUAUUUCGGUAUGUAAAGCUCUAUCAGCAGGGAAGAUAAUGACGGUACCUGACUAAGAAGCACCGGCUAAAUACGUGCCAGCAGCCGCGGUAAUACGUAUGGUGCAAGCGUUAUCCGGAUUUACUGGGUGUAAAGGGAGCGCAGGCGGUGCGGCAAGUCUGAUGUGAAAGCCCGGGGCUCAACCCCGGUACUGCAUUGGAAACUGUCGUACUAGAGUGUCGGAGGGGUAAGCGGAAUUCCUAGUGUAGCGGUGAAAUGCGUAGAUAUUAGGAGGAACACCAGUGGCGAAGGCGGCUUUCUGGACGACAACUGACGCUGAGGCGCGAAAGUGUGGGGAGCAAACAGGAUUAGAUACCCUGGUAGUCCACACCGUAAACGAUGGAUACUAGGUGUAGGAGGUAUCGACCCCUUCUGUGCCGCAGUUAACACAAUAAGUAUCCCACCUGGGGAGUACGACCGCAAGGUUGAAACUCAAAGGAAUUGACGGGGGCCCGCACAAGCAGUGGAGUAUGUGGUUUAAUUCGAAGCAACGCGAAGAACCUUACCUGGGCUUGACAUCCCUGGAAUCGAGUAGAGAUACUUGAGUGCCUUCGGGAAUCAGGUGACAGGUGGUGCAUGGUUGUCGUCAGCUCGUGUCGUGAGAUGUUGGGUUAAGUCCCGCAACGAGCGCAACCCCUAUUGUCAGUUGCCAUCAUUAAGUUGGGCACUCUGGCGAGACUGCCGGUGACAAAUCGGAGGAAGGUGGGGGGGACGUCAAAUCAUCAUGCCCCUUAUGCCCAGGGCUACACACGUACUACAAUGGCCGAUAACAAAGUGCAGCGAAACCGUGAGGUGGAGCGAAUCACAAAACUCGGUCUCAGUUCAGAUUGCAGGCUGCAACUCGCCUGCAUGAAGUUGGAAUUGCUAGUAAUCGCGGAUCAGAAUGCCGCGGUGAAUAAAAUCCCGGGCCUUGCACA